UACUGAUGAUGCAGACAGUCCCGAAAAAGAGCCUUGAAGCACUCCCACGCAUGAUGUAAAUUCUCAUUUGGCUUCUGUUUAAAGCAUAUAAUAUCAUUGCGCAAUCU
Non-coding RNA from Capsicum annuum, 107 nucleotides. The record is from Rfam. NCBI's taxonomy places the organism in Eukaryota, Viridiplantae, Streptophyta, Magnoliopsida, Solanales, Solanaceae.